AGCAAAAUCUUCUCAGACUCUCUUGUCACCUCUAACAAGCUCUUAAAAAAAAAAAAAAACAUAGAUUCAAAAGCAAAGAGAAAAUAAUAUUGAGGCAUUUGGCACAUAUUAUGAAAUAAUGGUGUCUUUAUGCACAAACGAUACCGGAGCCAGUUCCAAGAUGGCAGCAAAUUGGAGAGGCAGAGGACAUGAAUCUCAGAAAUUGGGCAGAUUUCAGGUGCCACUGUUCUCUUCCACGUUGCCACAGUGCACGAUCAUAUUGAUGCAAACUCUGCUGAUGGAUUUGAGGGUAUCAUCGCUAUCUAAUCCUAGUGAGCUAUGAUGGAUCAAAGAUUGGAGAUGCUUUCAUGGACUGUGCUUUGAAAGAACACAUGCCAUUUCUUAAAAACUACACACAAUGAUGGAAGAAGGCUAACCUGUGCCUUAUUUCAAGUUUUAGAAUAGAUAUUUUCUUG
Psammomys obesus (fat sand rat) is the source of this 455-nucleotide long non-coding RNA. RefSeq lists it as uncharacterized. The transcript is spliced from 3 exons. Lineage: Eukaryota; Metazoa; Chordata; Mammalia; Rodentia; Muridae. The record is from RefSeq and is a predicted model, not a curated record.